CCUACGGGUGGCAGCAGUGAGGAAUAUUGGUCAAUGGCCGAGAGGCUGAACCAGCCAAGUCGCGUGAGGGAAGACGGCCCUAAGGGUUGUAAACUUCUUUUGUCGGGGAGCAAAGCGAACCACGUGAGCUUCAUCGAGAGUACUCGAAGAAAAAGCAUCGGCUAACUCCGUGCCAGCAGCCGCGGUAAUACGGAGGAUGCGAGCGUUAUCCGGAUUUAUUGGGUUUAAAGGGUGCGCAGGCGGAGUGGCAAGUCAGCGGUAAAAUUGCGGGGCUCAACCCCGGACUGCCGUUGAAACUGCAUCCCUUGAGUGCGCGAGAGGUAUGCGGAAUGCGUGGUGUAGCGGUGAAAUGCAUAGAUAUCGCGCAGAACUCCGAUUGCGAAGGCAGCAUACCGGCGCGCAACUGACGCUCAUGCACGAAAGCGUGGGUAUCGAACAGGAUUAGAUACCCGGGUAGUC
RNAcentral lists this ribosomal RNA (459 nucleotides) under uncultured bacterium. Its description in RNAcentral is "partial 16S ribosomal RNA". It matches the Rfam family "Bacterial small subunit ribosomal RNA", at positions 338 to 795 of the family's 1533-position model. The record is from RNAcentral.